CAGAUCAAGGGGACUGUACAAGGAGCUUGAGGGGGAGGAAGAUUUAGGAGAGACAAAGACUGGGGGCAUGGUGAUGGCAGUGUUGCAAGAAACAGAGUGCAGCGUUCUGUACGAAUUAGAGGCAGAAGUCACUACAGAGCCAGCUCAUGUGACUGUGUCAUCCUUUUGCAGUUCAGUGUUAUGUUCUUACACAACUUGAGCUUUACUGAAGUUCUAAGGCAAAUGGAAACAUCAAUAAUAUUUCUGUGAGCCUCCAAGAAAGUCGUGGGAUACAACAAAGUGAAAAAACUUGGAAUAAUA
Molecule: long non-coding RNA, 300 nt
Organism: Athene cunicularia (burrowing owl)
Lineage: Eukaryota; Metazoa; Chordata; Aves; Strigiformes; Strigidae
Exons: 3
Source: RefSeq, a predicted model, not a curated record